Molecule: ribosomal RNA, 253 nt
Filed under: uncultured bacterium
Lineage: Bacteria
Description: partial 16S ribosomal RNA
Rfam family: Bacterial small subunit ribosomal RNA
Source: RNAcentral
UACGUAGGGGGCAAGCGUUGUCCGGAUUUAUUGGGCGUAAAGAGCGUGUAGGCGGCCAGACAGGUCCGUUGUGAAAACUCGAGGCUCAACCUCGAGACGCCGAUGGAAACCGUCUGGCUAGAGUCCGGAAGAGGAGAGUGGAAUUCCUGGUGUAGCGGUGAAAUGCGCAGAUAUCUGGAGGAACACCGGUGGCGAAGGCGGCAUCCUGGACCGAUACUGACGCUGAGGAGCGAAAGCCAGGGGAGCAAACGGG